RNAcentral lists this ribosomal RNA (467 nucleotides) under uncultured bacterium. Its description in RNAcentral is "bacterial SSU rRNA". It matches the Rfam family "Bacterial small subunit ribosomal RNA", at positions 50 to 564 of the family's 1533-position model. The record is from RNAcentral.
AACACAUGCAAGUCGAACGCCCCGCAAGGGGAGUGGCAGACGGGUGAGUAACGCGUGGGAAUCUACCGUGCCCUGCGGAAUAGCUCCGGGAAACUGGAAUUAAUACCGCAUACGCCCUACGGGGGAAAGAUUUAUCGGGGUAUGAUGAGCCCGCGUUUGGAUUAACUAGUUGGUGGGGUAAAGGCCUACCAAGGCGACGAUCCAUAGCUGGUCUGAGAGGAUGAUCAGCCACAUUGGGACUGAGACACGGCCCAAACUCCUACGGGAGGCAGCAGUGGGGAAUAUUGGACAAUGGGCGCAAGCCUGAUCCAGCCAUGCCGCGUGAGUGAUGAAGGCCUUAGGGUUGUAAAGCUCUUUCACCGGAGAAGAUAAUGACGGUAUCCGGAGAAGAAGCCCCGGCUAACUUCGUGCCAGCAGCCGCGGUAAUACGAAGGGGGCUAGCGUUGUUCGGAAUUACUGGGCGUAAA